UACGUAGGGGGCAAGCGUUGUCCGGAUUCAUUGGGCGUAAAGAGCGUGUAGGCGGCCAGGUAGGUCGGUUGUGAAAACUGGAGGCUCAACCUUCAGAGGUCGACCGAAACCAUCUGGCUAGAGUCCGGGAGAGGAGAGUGGAAUUCCUGGUGUAGCGGUGAAAUGCGCAGAUAUCAGGAAGAACACCCGUGGCGAAAAGCGGCUCUCUGGAACGGUACUGACGCUGAGACGCGAAGGCGUGGGGAGCGAACGGG
RNAcentral lists this ribosomal RNA (254 nucleotides) under uncultured bacterium. RNAcentral describes it as "partial 16S ribosomal RNA". It matches the Rfam family "Bacterial small subunit ribosomal RNA", at positions 524 to 776 of the family's 1533-position model. The record is from RNAcentral.